UAUAAAAAAGACACAACGUUACGUUUCAAAUUGGCAUUAGCGCAAACACUGCUAACCUCUUACAUUUCUUGAGUACAGCCCGGUGGUUCAAGCGUUCGCUCAUCACGCCGAAGACCCGGGUUCGAUUCAUGGGUACAAUGUGUGAGGCUCAUUUCUGGUGUCCUCCGCAGUGAUAAAGCUGGAAUAUUGCUAAAAGUGGUGUAAAACUAAACUCACUCACUCACUUGACUACACUGUGAAAAUACGAGGUACUGUAGCUCACAUAAAUAAUGAAGAAACAGUUACUGGACACUUCAUCCUUAUUAUGAUGGCAAACAUUCACAUUUAUUGGAGUGAUUUUAGCUUUCCGUGCUUUAUUGUACUUUGAAAAAAAUCUUUUUUUUUAAACUAAACCGAAAAAAUAUAUUAAAACAUCACAAUA
Molecule: long non-coding RNA, 421 nt
Organism: Haliotis rubra (blacklip abalone)
Lineage: Eukaryota; Metazoa; Mollusca; Gastropoda; Lepetellida; Haliotidae
Exons: 2
Source: RefSeq, a predicted model, not a curated record